RNAcentral lists this ribosomal RNA (253 nucleotides) under uncultured bacterium. RNAcentral's name for it is "partial 16S ribosomal RNA". It matches the Rfam family "Bacterial small subunit ribosomal RNA", at positions 524 to 776 of the family's 1533-position model. The record is from RNAcentral.
UACAGAGGGGGCAAGCGUUGUCCGGAAUCACUGGGCGUAAAGGGCGCGUAGGCGGCGCGGGAAGUCAUCGGUGAAAGUUCAGGGCUCAACUCUGAAUCGGCCGGUGAUACUCUCGUGCUCGAGCACUGUAGAGGCAGGUGGAAUUCCGGGUGUAGCGGUGGAAUGCGUAGAGAUCCGGAAGAACACCAGUGGCGAAGGCGACUCGCUGGACAAGUAUUGACGCUGAGGUGCGAAAGCGUGGGGAGCAAACAGG